Molecule: long non-coding RNA, 633 nt
Filed under: Capra hircus (goat)
Lineage: Eukaryota; Metazoa; Chordata; Mammalia; Artiodactyla; Bovidae
Description: lncRNA (ENSCHIG00000003873.1)
Source: RNAcentral
AUUCUGUCAAAAAGCAUAGAGAGCAAAACCACAACAACCUGUGUCCUAGGAUUAUAAUUGUGACAUAAUAUACGCCAAGAACCUGAGGCUUGUCCAAUCAGCAUUGUCUUUCAGGGAAAAUAAAUCUUAUGUAUUCUAGGUUAGUCUCAUGAAUUAUGAAAAAGUUAAGACUUGAGUUAAACUUUGAAGGAUGGGCAUAGAGUGAGGGAUUAUAUGAGCAAAACUAUGGCAGAGGUGGAAAUCAGGGGACUCUUGUUGGGAUUGAUUGGAGACAUCUCAACAGGAUAUAAGAUAUGAAAACUGGACACAAGAUCUUAAGGAUUUUUUCCCUUCUGAAAGUGAAAGUCACUCAGUCGUGUCCUACUCUUUGCGACCCAGUGGACUAUACAGUCUGUGGAAUUCUCUCGGGCAGAAUACUGGAGUGAGUAGCCUUUCCCUUCUCCAGGAGGUCUUCCCAACCCAGAGGUCAAACCCAGGUCUCCCACACUGCAGGCGGAUUCUUUACCAGCGGAGCCACAAGGAAAGUCCAAGAAUACUGGAAUGGGUAGUCUAUCCAUUCUCCAGGGGAUCUUCCCAACCCAGGAAUCAAACCAAGGUCUCCUGCAUUGCAGAUGGAUUCUUUACCAACUGAGC